GAGUUUGAUCAUGUUCAGAACGAACGCUGGCGGCGUGCCUAACACAUGCAAGUCCAACGUGAAAGGGGAGCAAUCCCCUGGUAGGGUGGCAAACGGGUGAGUAAUACAUGGGUGAUCUACCUUAGGGAUGGGGAUAUCCUUCCGAAAGGAGGGGCAAUACCGAAUAUUGUCCGGAGCCGUGAAGGGUUCCGGGGAAAGGGAGGCCUCUGACACAAGCUUUCGCCUUAAGAUGAGCCCAUGGCCCAUCAGCUAGUUGGUAGGGUAAAGGCCUACCAAGGCUACGACGGGUCGCUGGUCUGAGAGGACGACCAGCCACACUGGCACUGAGAUACGGGCCAGACUCCUACGGGAGGCAGCAGUGAGGAAUAUUGCGCAAUGGGGGAAACCCUGACGCAGCAACGCCGCGUGUGGGAAGAAGGCCUUCGGGUCGUAAACCACUUUUACUCGGGACGAAAAAGGGAUAUCAAAUAAAUAUCCCCGAUGACGGUACCGUGAGAAUAAGCCACGGCUAAUUCUGUGCCAGCAGCCGCGGUAAGACAGAGGUGGCAAGCGUUGUUCGGAAUUACUGGGCGUAAAGAGUCUGUAGGUGGUUUGUCAAGUCUUUGGUGAAAGGCCGUAGCUUACUAUGGGAAUGCCAAGAGACUGGCAGGCUGGAGGCUGG
This 661-nucleotide ribosomal RNA is filed under the name uncultured bacterium. RNAcentral's name for it is "bacterial SSU rRNA". It matches the Rfam family "Bacterial small subunit ribosomal RNA", at positions 9 to 651 of the family's 1533-position model. The record is from RNAcentral.